RNAcentral lists this ribosomal RNA (468 nucleotides) under uncultured bacterium. RNAcentral's name for it is "partial 16S ribosomal RNA". It matches the Rfam family "Bacterial small subunit ribosomal RNA", at positions 28 to 507 of the family's 1533-position model. The record is from RNAcentral.
GACGAACGCUGGCGGCGUGCUUAACACAUGCAAGUCGAACGGAAAGGCCCUGCUUUUGUGGGGUGCUCGAGUGGCGAACGGGUGAGUAACACGUGAGUAACCUGCCCUUGACUUUGGGAUAACUUCAGGAAACUGGGGCUGAUACCGGAUAGGAGCUCCUGCUGCAUGGUGGGGGUUGGAAAGUUUCGGUGGUUGGGGAUGGACUCGCGGCUUAUCAGCUUGUUGGUGGGGUAGUGGCUUACCAAGGCUUUGACGGGUAGCCGGCCUGAGAGGGUGACCGGCCACAUUGGGACUGAGAUACGGCCCAGACUCCUACGGGAGGCAGCAGUGGGGAAUAUUGCACAAUGGGCGGAAGCCUGAUGCAGCAACGCCGCGUGCGGGAUGACGGCCUUCGGGUUGUAAACCGCUUUCGCCUGUGACGAAGCGUGAGUGACGGUAAUGGGUAAAGAAGCACCGGCUAACUACGUG